GACGAACGCUGGCGGCGUGCCUAACACAUGCAAGUCGAACGGAGCAGAUCCCUUCGGGGGUUUGCUUAGUGGCGAACGGGUGAGUAACGCGUGAGGAACCUGCCUUUCAGUGGGGGACAACAGUUGGAAACGACUGCUAAUACCGCAUAAGCCCACGGCCCGGCAUCGGGUUGAGGGAAAAGGAUUUAUUCGCUUCAGGAUGGACUCGCGUCCAAUUAGCUAGUUGGUGAGGUAACGGCCCACCAAGGCGACGAUUGGUAGCCGGACUGAGAGGUUGAACGGCCACAUUGGGACUGAGACACGGCCCAG
This 309-nucleotide ribosomal RNA is filed under the name uncultured bacterium. RNAcentral describes it as "bacterial SSU rRNA". It matches the Rfam family "Bacterial small subunit ribosomal RNA", at positions 28 to 334 of the family's 1533-position model. The record is from RNAcentral.